This 256-nucleotide small RNA is filed under the name Drosophila ananassae. Its description in RNAcentral is "GF26503". Lineage: Eukaryota; Metazoa; Arthropoda; Insecta; Diptera; Drosophilidae. The record is from RNAcentral.
UGCACUAAGUAGACGAUGGUGGACUCAUCACUGUAACCGCCGCACGAGAACUUGUUCAACUGCUCGAUGUCGUCAGCUGAAAUAAUAAAGUUGGUCUCAACAGAACAAACAAAAGAUAACAUGGCUUUGACGGACGAUGACGAUGACGUCAGCCUCAUGGCCAUUGUCUUUCGAUAUAAGUGCGCUAAUUAAGCAAAAAAAAAAUGUACAAAAAUGUAUAUCUUUACUGCCGUUUCAUAAUAUAAGCAGAAUGUGA